GGGCCCAUAGCUCAGUUGGUUAAAGCGCCUCGUUUGCAACGAGGAGAUCAGGAGUUCGACUCUCCUUGGGUCCA
This 74-nucleotide transfer RNA is filed under the name Candidatus Shapirobacteria bacterium. RNAcentral's name for it is "tRNA-Ala". It matches the Rfam family "tRNA". Rfam says of the family: Transfer RNA (tRNA) molecules are approximately 80 nucleotides in length. Their secondary structure includes four short double-helical elements and three loops (D, anti-codon, and T loops). Lineage: Bacteria; Candidatus Shapironibacteriota. The record is from RNAcentral.